RNAcentral lists this ribosomal RNA (644 nucleotides) under uncultured fungus. Its description in RNAcentral is "eukaryotic LSU rRNA". The stretch from base 255 to 408 matches the Rfam family "5.8S ribosomal RNA". The record is from RNAcentral. Lineage: Eukaryota; Fungi.
GGAAGGAUCAUUAUUGAAUGAACUUGGUGUGGUUGUUGCUGGUCCUCUCGGGGGCAUGUGCACACCCAUCAUCCUCAUCUCUCCACCUGUGCACCUCUUGUAGACCUGGAUUGACUUUCCGAGGCAACUCGGUCGGGAAGAUUGCUGCGCUCUGUGAGCCAGCUUUCUUUGCAUGUCCAGGACUAUGUUUUUCAUAUACCCCUAUAGAAUGUAACAGAAUGUAUCAUUGGGCCUUGUGCCUAUAAACCUUAUACAACUUUCAGCAACGGAUCUCUUGGCUCUCGCAUCGAUGAAGAACGCAGCGAAAUGCGAUAAGUAAUGUGAAUUGCAGAAUUCAGUGAAUCAUCGAAUCUUUGAACGCACCUUGCGCUCCUUGGUAUUCCGAGGAGCAUGCCUGUUUGAGUGUCAUUAAAUUCUCAACCUUAUUAGCUUUUGUUGAUAAUGGAUUGGAUGUGGGGGUUUCUUUUGCUGGCUUCUUCACAGAGAUCAGCUCCCCUUAAAUGCAUUAGCUGGUGACCCGCGUGGACCAUCUAUUGGUGUGAUAAUUAUCUACGCCGUGGAUGUCUGCAAUCAUAUGGGUUUUGCACUGCUUCUAACCCGUCUGUUCAUUCGGACAAUACAUGACAAUUUGACCUCAAAUCAGG